GGUGAACGCUGGCGGCGUGCCUUAGGCAUGCAAGUCGCGCGGCCAGCAAUGGCAGCGGCGGACGGGUGAGUAACGCGUAGGAAUGUGUCCAGAGGUGGGGGACAACCCCGGGAAACUGGGGCUAAUACCGCAUAUGUCCUGAGGGACAAAGCAGUAAUGCGCCUUUGGAGCAGCCUGCGUCCGAUUAGGUAGUUGGUGGGGUAAUGGCCUACCAAGCCUGCGAUCGGUAGCUGGUCUGAGAGGACGAUCAGCCACACUGGGACUGAGACACGGCCCAGACUCCUACGGGAGGCAGCAGUGGGGAAUAUUGGACAAUGGGGGCAACCCUGAUCCAGCAAUGCCGCGUGUGUGAAGAAGGUCUUCGGAUCGUAAAGCACUUUCGGCGGGGACGAUGAUGACGGUACCCGCAGAAGAAGCCCCGGCUAACUUCGUGCCAGCCGCCGCUGUAA
RNAcentral lists this ribosomal RNA (449 nucleotides) under uncultured bacterium. RNAcentral's name for it is "partial 16S ribosomal RNA". It matches the Rfam family "Bacterial small subunit ribosomal RNA", at positions 28 to 523 of the family's 1533-position model. The record is from RNAcentral.